UACGGGGGGGGCAAGCGUUGUUCGGAAUUACUGGGCGUAAAGGGCUCGUAGGCGGCCAACUAAGUCGGAUGUGAAAUCCCUCGGCUCAACUGAGGAAGUGCAUCCGAAACUGGCAGGCUUGAGUACUAAAGAGGGUCGCGGAAUUCCCGGUGUAGAGGUGAAAUUCGUAGAUAUCGGGAGGAACACCGGUGGCGAAGGCGGCGACCUGGGUAGAUACUGACGCUGAGGUGCGAAAGCGUGGGGAGCAAACAGG
Molecule: ribosomal RNA, 253 nt
Filed under: uncultured bacterium
Lineage: Bacteria
Description: partial 16S ribosomal RNA
Rfam family: Bacterial small subunit ribosomal RNA
Source: RNAcentral